Monodelphis domestica (gray short-tailed opossum) is the source of this 493-nucleotide non-coding RNA. The record is from RefSeq and is a predicted model, not a curated record. NCBI's taxonomy places the organism in Eukaryota, Metazoa, Chordata, Mammalia, Didelphimorphia, Didelphidae.
AUUUAGUUGAGAUGAUAAAUUAAUCUCUCAGUUAUACUCAGUUCAGUGAAAAUUAGUUGCUUAGAUCUUUUAAAUAUGAAAAAUUUCUGGGAUCAGAUUUUUAUAAAGGAAGGGAGAAGAAAAGAGUUGACUCAAUCUCUAUUACCUUUGAUGCUUGGACAAUGUGUACUCUUGUCCCAAAAAUGACUAUGAGAAUCAUUACUAACUUUGAAGAGGAAAUGUUAGAAACUUUGUGAGUAAUUGAUGUACCUUUCUUAAUUUUUUUUGGUAGAAACAGAGAGGAAAAAUUGAGCAUAAUCCCACAUGCAACAGAAUUUGGGGAACUGAUUUGAAAAGGUUCUGAGAAAAGACAGCCAAGCAAUAAUUUAGGUGAAGAUGGACCCGAGCAACUGUGAAAAUUGAGAUUUCAGCUAAGCUGCCACACAUAUGAAAUUUCACUUCUAAAUGUUGUCAGGAUAAAAAAUAAAAAAUAAAAAAAUUACACUCCUGUUAA